This 1192-nucleotide ribosomal RNA is filed under the name Candidatus Phytoplasma oryzae. Its description in RNAcentral is "bacterial SSU rRNA". It matches the Rfam family "Bacterial small subunit ribosomal RNA", at positions 173 to 1366 of the family's 1533-position model. Lineage: Bacteria; Bacillati; Mycoplasmatota; Mollicutes; Acholeplasmatales; Acholeplasmataceae. The record is from RNAcentral. RNAcentral also lists the same sequence under 1 other name.
UGAUGGAGAAAAGAGCAUCCUUUUAUUUUUAAAGACCUUUUUCGGAAGGUAUGCUUAAAGAGGGGCUUGCGUCACAUUAGUUAGUUGGCAGGGUAAAGGCCUACCAAGACUAUGAUGUGUAGCUGGACUGAGAGGUUGAACAGCCACAUUGGGACUGAGACACGGCCCAAACUCCUACGGGAGGCAGCAGUAGGGAAUUUUCGGCAAUGGAGGAAACUCUGACCGAGCAACGCCGCGUGAACGAUGAAGUAUUUCGGUAUGUAAAGUUCUUUUAUUGAAGAAGAAAAAAUAGUGGAAAAACUAUCUUGACGAUAUUCAAUGAAUAAGCCCCGGCAAACUAUGUGCCAGCAGCCGCGGUAAUACAUAGGGGGCGAGCGUUAUCCGGAAUUAUUGGGCGUAAAGGGUGCGUAGGCGGUUUAAUAAGUCUAUAGUUUAAUUUCAGUGCUUAACACUGUCCUGCUAUAGAAACUAUUAGACUAGAGUGAGAUAGAGGCAAGUGGAAUUCCAUGUGUAGCGGUAAAAUGCGUAAAUAUAUGGAGGAACACCAGAGGCGUAGGCGGCUUGCUGGGUCUUUACUGACGCUGAGGCACGAAAGCGUGGGGAGCAAACAGGAUUAGAUACCCUGGUAGUCCACGCCGUAAACGAUGAGUACUAAGUGUCGGGAUUACUCGGUACUGAAGUUAACACAUUAAGUACUCCGCCUGAGUAGUACGUACGCAAGUAUGAAACUUAAAGGAAUUGACGGGACUCCGCACAAGCGGUGGAUCAUGUUGUUUAAUUCGAAGAUACACGAAAAACCUUACCAGGUCUUGACAUACUCUGCAAAGCUAUAGCAAUAUAGUGGAGGUUAUCAGGGAUACAGGUGGUGCAUGGUUGUCGUCAGCUCGUGUCGUGAGAUGUUAGGUUAAGUCCUAAAACGAGCGCAACCCUUGUCAUUAGUUGCCAGCAUGUCAUGAUGGGCACUUUAAUGAGACUGCCAAUGAAAAAUUGGAGGAAGGUGAGGAUCACGUCAAAUCAUCAUGCCCCUUAUGAUCUGGGCUACAAACGUGAUACAAUGGCUGUUACAAAGAGUAGCUGAAACGCAAGUUUAUAGCCAAUCUCAUAAAAGCAGUCUCAGUUCGGAUUGAAGUCUGCAACUCGACUUCAUGAAGUUGGAAUCGCUAGUAAUCGCGAAUCAGCAUGUCGCGGUGAA